AGUAUCCUAAUCCUAAAGGGUUCCAAUAUUUCAAGUGCCAAGGUUGGGGACAUAAAGCCAACGAAUGUCCAAACCGGCGCAAUGUGAUCCUAAGGGAAGGGAGAUUGUAUUACCUUGGUGAGAAAGUGGGUCUUGAAAAAGAAGAGAAUGAGGCCGAGCCUCAAGAUAGCGAGAAACUCGAAAAUGAGCCAUAUGAUGAUGAUGAUUGUGAGGAUGCUUAUCCGCAAGAAGGGGAGUGCAUGGUUCCAAACUUUGUAGUGAGGCGUACCAUGAUUAGUAAGGUGAUAGAUAACCCUAGACAACGGGAGAAUUUAUUCCAUACUAAAUGUCUUGUGAAGGAAAGUAUGUGUACUAUAGUGAUAGAUAGUGGAAGUUGUGCGAAUGUGGUUAGUGUUGCAAUGGUGAACUUCUUGAAAUUGUCGAAUAUACCUCACACUAGUCCUUACAAGUUGCAUGCCCAAAAACAAGGACCAACCCGCCACUACAAGGUUGUUCGAGCCUAAAAAAGUCCAUAAAUUUCCUCCCGGGCAAGAAGCUCACAAGUAUCCUAAUCCUAAAGGGUUCCAAUAUUUCAAGUGCCAAGGUUGGGGACAUAAAGCCAACGAAUGUCCAAACCGGCGCAAUGUGAUCCUAAGGGAAGGGAGAUUGUAUUACCUUGGUGAGGAAGUGGGUCUUGAAAAAGAAGAGAAUGAGGCCGAGCCUCAAGAUAGAGAGAAACCCAAAAAUGAGCCACAUGAUGAUGAUGAUUGUGAGGAUGCUUAUCCGCAAGAAGGGGAGUGCAUGGUUCCAAACUUUGUAGUGAGGCGUACCAUGAUUAGUAAGG
RNAcentral lists this long non-coding RNA (823 nucleotides) under Capsicum annuum. Its description in RNAcentral is "long non-coding RNA (CANN_LNC012998)". Lineage: Eukaryota; Viridiplantae; Streptophyta; Magnoliopsida; Solanales; Solanaceae. The record is from RNAcentral.